UACGGAGGGUGCAAGCGUUAAUCGGAAUUACUGGGCGUAAAGGGUGCGUAGGUGGUUUAUUAAGUUAUCUGUGAAAGACCUGGGCUCAACCUGGGAGGGUCAGAUGAUACUGAUGGACUUGAGUACGGGAGAGGGUAGUGGAAUUUCCGGUGUAGCGGUGAAAUGCGUAGAUAUCGGAAGGAACACCGGUGGCGAAGGCGUCUACCUGGCCUGAUACUGACACUGAGGCACGAAAGCGUGGGGAGCAAACAGG
This 253-nucleotide ribosomal RNA is filed under the name uncultured bacterium. RNAcentral describes it as "partial 16S ribosomal RNA". It matches the Rfam family "Bacterial small subunit ribosomal RNA", at positions 524 to 776 of the family's 1533-position model. The record is from RNAcentral.